Long non-coding RNA from Gallus gallus (chicken), 284 nucleotides. RefSeq lists it as uncharacterized. NCBI's taxonomy places the organism in Eukaryota, Metazoa, Chordata, Aves, Galliformes, Phasianidae. The transcript has 2 exons. The record is from RefSeq and is a predicted model, not a curated record.
CAGCAUCAUCUGCCAUGACAGUCCACAGUGAGACUCAAAUUCAGGCGAUUCUAGCUCUGUAGCAGAAGUACAUCCUGUCCCUUAAGGCUGUGAUCUCAAAGGAGUACACACACAGAGCCAAGGAUGUUUCAGCAUCUGACACUGUCCUGCCAGCAAGAGCUUGGGGCUGCACAGGGAGCUGGGAAGGAACCACUCUGGGACAGCUGAUGCAGACUGGCCAAAGGAACAUUCCAUUCUGUUUGACAUCAUGCUCAGCAAUAAAAGCUGGGUUGAAGAUGGAGGAA